ACCACCGCAUUCUCCUCUGUCACCACCGGGUGGCGACAGAGAGCACGCCGGGAAAAAAAAACUUCCUCCGAGGGGCUCCUGGGCUCAGCGCUCUGCAAUCCAAUCUCACUGUGGACUCCUGUCUCAUCUCUGUGUCUCUGAGGCACCUGUCUGGUGUGAUAAUAGAAUGAGUGGAGUACGGGUCCUCUUAACGACUGACUUGUUCCAGAACCUCAGAACUGAAGUCUGCCAAAAGCUAUGAUGCCAGGCAGACAUCGGCAAUACUCUCUUCCCGUCCCUCGUAAUGAAUAAGAAGCCUUCUGCAGUCUGUGGCGCUGAGGCACAGGCCUGGUUUCUGCCUUCCAUCCGAUCCAAAGCAAUUCCAGAUUCUUCCAGGAUGUUUUUUAGGCACAGGCAUCGGAACUGCAGGCAUGCCCGUAUCUCUUCAACCAUGCCUGUGCUUCCAGCCACAGUUGUGGCAUUGCACUUUCAUGCCAUUCCUGCUUCACCGAAAUGCUGCUCUCAUUUCACUCUUCACCGUUGGAGUCCAUGUCUAUUAAUGGUGUAUGUCUGCAGCGGAGUGAGUGCUACAAAAGAUGGACUCUACCUAUAAUCAUGGCCCAAACUGGAAUACCUUUUAUUACUAUCCUCUAGCUCCUGAAAGGAAACCCCAGGCCGUGAAAUUCAAGCUGCAGCUGAGUAAGGGUGCUUCUCAGCCAUUCGGUAUUCCUCAGGUGAUAGCCCAAAAAACUUAGAAUACCCAAGAUACAAGAUACAAUUUGCAAAACACAUGAAACUCAAGAAGAACGAAGACCAAAGUGUGGACACUUUGCCCCUUCUCAGAACUGGGAACAAAACACCCAUGGAAGGAGUUACAGAGACAAAGUUUGGAGCUGAGACGAAAGGUGGACCAUCUAGAGACUGCCUUAUCCAGGGAUCCACCCCAUAAUCAGCUUCCAAACGCUGACACCAUUGCACACACCAGCAAGAUUUUAUCGAAAGGACCCAGAUAUAGCUGACGAAAUCCAGGCCCAUCCAUGUUCCUGAAAAUGUGAAGACUCCAUUCUUUUUAUGGCAGAAUACAAUUCCCAUAUGUGUAUAUACCAUAUUCUUAAAAUCCACUCUUCUGUCAAGGGAACUUUAGGUUGAUUCUAUAUCUUAGCUAUUGUAAAUAGUAUAGCAAUAAAUAUGGCUGAGCAAGU
This 1181-nucleotide long non-coding RNA is filed under the name Mus musculus (house mouse). RNAcentral's name for it is "RIKEN cDNA G530011O06 gene y". The record is from RNAcentral. Lineage: Eukaryota; Metazoa; Chordata; Mammalia; Rodentia; Muridae.